AACGCUAGCUACAGGCUUAACACAUGCAAGUCGAGGGGCAGCAUGAACUUAGCUUGCUAAGUUUGAUGGCGACCGGCGCACGGGUGAGUAACGCGUAUCCAACCUGCCGAUGACUCGGGGAUAGCCUUUCGAAAGAAAGAUUAAUACCCGAUGGCAUAAUUCUUCCGCAUGGUAGAAUUAUUAAAGAAUUUCGGUCAUCGAUGGGGAUGCGUUCCAUUAGGUUGUUGGCGGGGUAACGGCCCACCAAGCCUUCGAUGGAUAGGGGUUCUGAGAGGAAGGUCCCCCACAUUGGAACUGAGACACGGUCCAAACUCCUACGGGAGGCAGCAGUGAGGAAUAUUGGUCAAUGGACGAGAGUCUGAACCAGCCAAGUAGCGUGAAGGAUGACUGCCCUAUGGGUUGUAAACUUCUUUUAUACGGGUAUAAAGUGAGGCACGUGUGCCUUUUUGUAUGUACCGUAUGAAUAAGGAUCGGCUAACUCCGUGCCAGCAGCCGCGGUAAUACGGAGGAUCCGAGCGUUAUCCGGAUUUAUUGGGUUUAAAGGGAGCGUAGGCGGACGCUUAAGUCAGUUGUGAAAGUUUGCGGCUCAACCGUAAAAUUGCAGUUGAUACUGGGUGUCUUGAGUACAGUAGAGGCAGGCGGAAUUCGUGGUGUAGCGGUGAAAUGCUUAGAUAUCACGAAGAACUCCGAUUG
Molecule: ribosomal RNA, 693 nt
Filed under: uncultured bacterium
Lineage: Bacteria
Description: bacterial SSU rRNA
Rfam family: Bacterial small subunit ribosomal RNA
Source: RNAcentral